This 21-nucleotide microRNA is filed under the name Ornithorhynchus anatinus (platypus). Its description in RNAcentral is "Oan-Mir-1421-P14_5p (mature (guide))". The record is from RNAcentral. Lineage: Eukaryota; Metazoa; Chordata; Mammalia; Monotremata; Ornithorhynchidae.
UGGAGGUCACACAUCAUGCCG